CCCUUAGAUGUUCUGGGCCGCACGUGCGCUACACUGAUGCAUUCAACGAGCUUCUUCCUGGUCCGAGAGGAAUGGGUAACCUUUUGAAAGUGCAUCGUGAUAGGGAUAGACUAUUGCAAUUAUUGGUCUUCAACGAGGAAUUCCUAGUAGACGUAGUUCAUCAGACUGCAUCGAUUACGUCCCUGCCCUUUGUACACACCGCCCGUCGCUCCUACCGAUUGAAUGCUCAGGUGAGCCAUUCGGACUUUCAUCAUGCUGGUUUCCAGUUUUGAUGAAGGAAAGUCUUGCGAACCUUAUCAUUUAGAGGAAGGAGAAGUCGUAACA
This 324-nucleotide ribosomal RNA is filed under the name uncultured eukaryote. RNAcentral describes it as "partial 18S ribosomal RNA". It matches the Rfam family "Eukaryotic small subunit ribosomal RNA", at positions 1470 to 1796 of the family's 1831-position model. The record is from RNAcentral.